AACGCACAUUGCGCCCUCUGGUAUUCCGGAGGGCAUGCCUGUCCGAGCGUCAUUGCAACCUUCAAGCGCGGCUUGUGUGUUGGGCCUCGUCCCCCGUGGACGGGCCUCAAAGGCAGUGGCGGCGUCCGUUUUGGUGCCCGAGCGUAUGGGAAUUCUAUACCGCUUCAAGGCCCGGCGGCGCUGGUCAAGACCAAUUUUUAUCGGUUGACCUCGGAUCAGGUAGGGAUACCCGCUGAACUUAA
RNAcentral lists this unclassified non-coding RNA (242 nucleotides) under uncultured Auxarthron. RNAcentral describes it as "sequence contains ITS2". The stretch from base 1 to 52 matches the Rfam family "5.8S ribosomal RNA", at positions 103 to 154 of the family's 154-position model. Lineage: Eukaryota; Fungi; Ascomycota; Eurotiomycetes; Onygenales. The record is from RNAcentral.